This is an unclassified non-coding RNA of Callithrix jacchus (white-tufted-ear marmoset), 148 nucleotides long. It matches the Rfam family "Metazoan signal recognition particle RNA". Rfam says of the family: The signal recognition particle (SRP) is a universally conserved ribonucleoprotein. The record is from Ensembl. Lineage: Eukaryota; Metazoa; Chordata; Mammalia; Primates; Cebidae.
GCCAGGUGUGGUGGUGUGCACUUGUAGUCCCAGCUACUCAGGAGGCUGAGGUGGGAGGAUCGCUUGAGCCCAGGAGGUCAGAGGUGCAGUGAGCUGAGAUUGCACCACUGCAUUCCAGCCUGAGUAACAAAGUGAGACCCUGUCUCAA